This 99-nucleotide non-coding RNA is filed under the name Luteibacter yeojuensis. Its description in RNAcentral is "TPP sequence". It matches the Rfam family "TPP riboswitch aptamer (THI element)". Rfam says of the family: Vitamin B(1) in its active form thiamin pyrophosphate (TPP) is an essential coenzyme that is synthesised by coupling of pyrimidine and thiazole moieties in bacteria. The previously detected thiamin-regulatory element, thi box was extended, resulting in a new, highly conserved RNA secondary structure, the THI element, which is widely distributed in eubacteria and also occurs in some archaea. Lineage: Bacteria; Pseudomonadati; Pseudomonadota; Gammaproteobacteria; Lysobacterales; Rhodanobacteraceae. The record is from RNAcentral.
GCCCUGAAGCGGGGGUGCCGGCGCAAGCGCGCAGGCUGAGAGAGUCCCUUCGAACCUGAUCCGGUUUGUACCGGCGUAGGAAGCUUCGUCCACGGGAAA